AGUGAACGCUGGCGGUAGGCCUAACACAUGCAAGUCGAACGGCAGCACAGUAAGAGCUUGCUCUUACGGGUGGCGAGUGGCGGACGGGUGAGGAAUACAUCGGAAUCUACUUUUUCGUGGGGGAUAACGUAGGGAAACUUACGCUAAUACCGCAUACGACCUACGGGUGAAAGCAGGGGAUCUUCGGACCUUGCGCGAUUGAAUGAGCCGAUGUCGGAUUAGCUAGUUGGCGGGGUAAAGGCCCACCAAGGCGACGAUCCGUAGCUGGUCUGAGAGGAUGAUCCCCCACCUGGGAACUGAGACCCGGCCCAGGCGCCCAGGGGGGGCAGGUGGGGGAAAUUUGGGAAAAGGGGCGCAACCCUGAUCCACCCAAACCGCGGGGGUGAAGAAGGCCUGCGGGUUGUAAAGCCCUUUUUUUGGGAAAAAAAAGCAGCAGUUUUAACCCCCGCUGUUUUGCCGGUACCAAAAGAAAAAGCACGGGCGAACUUCUU
RNAcentral lists this ribosomal RNA (491 nucleotides) under uncultured bacterium. RNAcentral's name for it is "partial 16S ribosomal RNA". It matches the Rfam family "Bacterial small subunit ribosomal RNA", at positions 29 to 506 of the family's 1533-position model. The record is from RNAcentral.